Molecule: ribosomal RNA, 252 nt
Filed under: uncultured bacterium
Lineage: Bacteria
Description: partial 16S ribosomal RNA
Rfam family: Bacterial small subunit ribosomal RNA
Source: RNAcentral
ACGGGGGGUGCAAGCGUUAAUCGGAAUUACUGGGCGUAAAGCGCGCGUAGGCGGUCUGGUCAGUCGGAUGUGAAAGCCCUGGGCUCAACCUGGGAAUGGCAUUCGAUACUGCCAGACUAGAAUAUGGGAGAGGCAAGUGGAAUUUCCGGUGUAGCGGUGAAAUGCGUAGAUAUCGGAAGGAACACCAGUGGCGAAGGCGGCUUGCUGGCCCAAUAUUGACGCUGAGGUGCGAAAGCGUGGGGAGCGAACAGG